AUUGAACGCUGGCGGCAUGCCUAACACAUGCAAGUCGAACGGCAGCAUGGUCUAGCUUGCUAGACUGAUGGCGAGUGGCGAACGGGUGAGUAAUACGCAGGAAUAUGCCUUGAAGAGUGGGACAACUUGGGGAAACUCAAGCUAAUACCGCAUAAGCUCUUAGGAGGAAAGCUGGGGGACCUUCGGGCCUGGCGCUUCAAGAAUAGCCUGCGUCCGAUUAGCUAGUUGGUAGGGUAAGAGCCUACCAAGGCGACGAUCGGUAGCUGGUCUGAGAGGAUGGUCAGCCACACUGGGACUGAGACACGGCCCAGACUCCUACGGGAGGCAG
RNAcentral lists this ribosomal RNA (328 nucleotides) under uncultured Pseudomonadota bacterium. RNAcentral describes it as "bacterial SSU rRNA". It matches the Rfam family "Bacterial small subunit ribosomal RNA", at positions 30 to 351 of the family's 1533-position model. The record is from RNAcentral. Lineage: Bacteria; Pseudomonadati; Pseudomonadota.